CACCACAGCAUAAAGCUUUCAUCAAGACCAUGGGGACUGACUCAAACCUGGGGCACAUACAUGUCUAAACAGUGCACUCUGCAAUUGCUCCUCAGUUCUUGCCUCCUAAUUAACCAAAUGGGAAAACUGAAGGAAGGAAAAGAGCUCACUAAGGCCCAUAACUUGACAGCAAAGGAACAGACAAAAGAAUUGCAGAACCAACA
This is a long non-coding RNA of Erinaceus europaeus (western European hedgehog), 203 nucleotides long. RefSeq lists it as uncharacterized. Lineage: Eukaryota; Metazoa; Chordata; Mammalia; Eulipotyphla; Erinaceidae. The record is from RefSeq and is a predicted model, not a curated record. The transcript has 3 exons.